GGCUCAGGACGAACGCUGGCGGCGUGCUUAACACAUGCAAGUCGAGCGGAAAGGCCCUUCGGGGUACUCGAGCGGCGAACGGGUGAGUAACACGUGAGCAACCUGCCCUAGGCUUUGGGAUAACCCCGGGAAACCGGGGCUAAUACCGAAUAUGACUUCUGGUCGCAUGACCGGUGGUGGAAAGUUUUUCGGCCUGGGAUGGGCUCGCGGCCUAUCAGCUUGUUGGUGGGGUGAUGGCCUACCAAGGCGACGACGGGUAGCCGGCCUGAGAGGGCGACCGGCCACACUGGGACUGAGACACGGCCCAGACUCCUACGGGAGGCAGCAGUGGGGAAUAUUGCACAAUGGGCGGAAGCCUGAUGCAGCGACGCCGCGUGAGGGAUGACGGCCUUCGGGUUGUAAACCUCUUUCAGCAGGGACGAAGCGUAAGUGACGGUACCUGCAGAAGAAGCGCCGGCCAACUACGUGCCAGCAGCCGCGGUAAGACGUAGGGCGCGAGCGUUGUCCGGAUUUAUUGGGCGUAAAGAGCUCGUAGGCGGCUUGUCGCGUCGACUGUGAAAACCCGCAGCUCAACUGCGGGCCUGCAGUCGAUACGGGCAGGCUAGAGUUCGGUAGGGGAGACUGGAAUUCCUGGUGUAGCGGUGAAAUGCGCAGAUAUCAGGAGGAACACCGGUGGCGAAGGCGGGUCUCUGGGCCGAUACUGACGCUGAGAC
This 713-nucleotide ribosomal RNA is filed under the name Micromonospora chaiyaphumensis. Its description in RNAcentral is "bacterial SSU rRNA". It matches the Rfam family "Bacterial small subunit ribosomal RNA", at positions 21 to 752 of the family's 1533-position model. The record is from RNAcentral. Lineage: Bacteria; Bacillati; Actinomycetota; Actinomycetes; Micromonosporales; Micromonosporaceae.